CAACGUUCUCAGGGCGGGGUGCGAUUCCCCACCGGCGGUAAUGGCGCGCAAUGCGUCUAGCCCGCGAGCGCUCGCUCAGGCGAGGUCAGCAGACCUGGUGUGAUUCCAGGGCCGACGGUCAUAGUCCGGAUGAAGAGAGAACGGGA
This 146-nucleotide non-coding RNA is filed under the name Pseudomonas sp. RNAcentral's name for it is "FMN sequence". It matches the Rfam family "FMN riboswitch aptamer (RFN element)". Rfam says of the family: The RFN element is a highly conserved domain that is found frequently in the 5'-untranslated regions of prokaryotic mRNAs that encode for flavin mononucleotide (FMN) biosynthesis and transport proteins. This element is a metabolite-dependent riboswitch that directly binds FMN in the absence of proteins. Lineage: Bacteria; Pseudomonadati; Pseudomonadota; Gammaproteobacteria; Pseudomonadales; Pseudomonadaceae. The record is from RNAcentral.